AAAGGGAUAGAGAGGCAGAGGGGGAAGGUUCAGUUAGAAAUGGCGGGAAUUGGUUAUCCAAACCUGAUUCCACGUGUCAACCGGACGACCACUCAAUCACCGUUAAAUUUACAGAGAGCCCACGGCGCACGGUGCUGCUCAGUUGCACCGGAAAAUGAAAAGAAAACCAAAACUCCUCAGAUUUUAAGAUUGGCAGUGAGCGGUGUUACAGAGUUGCUAAGACUCUUUUCUUCUUCCACCAAAGACAGAGUUGAUGAUGGACUAUGCACUAGGGAGAGAGAGGGAAUUUCAGUUUCUGAUGUUGAUGAAGUUCUAAGGAUCCUCAAAUCUGAUUAUGAGAAUGCUUACUUUGUUACAGGGAAUUUUACUUCUGCAAUUUAUGCUGAAGAUUGUAUCUUUGAGGAUCCAACUAUUAGAUUCCGAGGCAAGGAGCUGUAUUCUCGCAACUUGAAAUUGCUUGUUCCUUUCUUUGACAACCCUUCGAUUGGAUUACAAAAGAUUGAGAAGGGUGUCAAGGUGGAAACAAACUUUGUGCUGGCAACUUGGAGAUUAAGGUGCUUCACCGACAUUAAGUAUCUGGUUUUGCAUUCACAGCAGGAUCCAUUAGUCUGAAUACUCGAGAACUUUCCUGAAGCUUCCCUGGAAGCCUCUUAUUUCAAUCGAUGGAAGCACUUUCUAUGAAUUGGGCGAAAAGUUUACGAUUGUCAGGCAUGCUGAGAGUUGGAAUGUCUCUGCACUGGAAGCAGUUGGUCAGAUAUUCACUCCUAGUUUUUGGAAGGCCAAAUGAUUGAGCAUAAUAUAUUUUCCACGAGAAAUCAAGUUGCUAUAUAUGUAAUUAUCAGUUGCUGGUAGGAUUUCCAAAGUAGAGCUUAAAUUAUUUCAUUUGUUUUAAAUUUUGGUUGGGUACUGCUUCUUGCUCAUAAUUAAUGGCUACCUCCCACUAUCUUUUGUUCUGAUUAUAUAUCGAACACGAGCUCUAUAUAUAUUUUUCCUCUACAUAAAUGAAAGCUUAGCUUCAUGCGAUUUUCCUCGGC
This is a non-coding RNA of Theobroma cacao (cacao), 1034 nucleotides long. The record is from RefSeq and is a predicted model, not a curated record. NCBI's taxonomy places the organism in Eukaryota, Viridiplantae, Streptophyta, Magnoliopsida, Malvales, Malvaceae.